UACGUAGGGGCCGAGCGUUGUCCGGAGUUAUUGGGCGUAAAGCGCGCGCAGGCGGCCUCGCUCGCCCGACGUGAAAGCCCCCGGCUUAACCGGGGAGGGUCGUUGGGGACGGCGGGGCUUGAGGGCGGGAGAGGGCGGUGGAAUUCCCGGUGUAGUGGUGAAAUGCGUAGAGAUCGGGAGGAACACCUGUGGCGAAGGCGGCCGUCUGGGCCGACCCUGACGCUGAGGCGCGAAGGCGUGGGGAGCGAACGGG
RNAcentral lists this ribosomal RNA (253 nucleotides) under uncultured bacterium. Its description in RNAcentral is "partial 16S ribosomal RNA". It matches the Rfam family "Bacterial small subunit ribosomal RNA", at positions 524 to 776 of the family's 1533-position model. The record is from RNAcentral.